This 367-nucleotide ribosomal RNA is filed under the name uncultured bacterium. Its description in RNAcentral is "bacterial SSU rRNA". It matches the Rfam family "Bacterial small subunit ribosomal RNA", at positions 79 to 436 of the family's 1533-position model. The record is from RNAcentral.
GCAAUCUAAAAAUUACCUUCGGAACGGGUGAGUAACACGUGGGCCAACCUGCCUGUAACCACUGGGAUAACUUCGGGAAACCGAGGCUAAUACCGGAUAAUCCUUUUUCUCACAUGAGGGAAAGCUGAAAGACGGCGUAAGCUGUCACUUACAGAUGGGCCCGCGGCGCAUUAUCUAUUUGGUGAGGUAACGGCUCACCAAGGCGACGAUGCGUAGCCGACCUGAGAGGGUGAUCGGCCACACUGGGACUGAGACACGGCCCAGACUCCUACGGGAGGCAGCAGUAUGGGAAUCUUCCGCAAUGGACGAAAGUCUGACGGAGCAACGCCGCGUGAGUGAUGAAGGCUUUCGGGUCCUAAAACUCUGU